RNAcentral lists this unclassified non-coding RNA (259 nucleotides) under uncultured fungus. RNAcentral describes it as "sequence contains ITS1, 5.8S rRNA gene". The stretch from base 211 to 259 matches the Rfam family "5.8S ribosomal RNA", at positions 1 to 49 of the family's 154-position model. Lineage: Eukaryota; Fungi. The record is from RNAcentral.
UUUCCGUAGGUGAACCUGCGGAAGGAUUAUUACCCUUUAAUCAGAGGUUAGGCUUUAGUAUUAAGGGCAUUCCCCUCCUCCUAGCCCUACCUUUCUAAUUUUACCCGUGAUUUUUGCGCACUCUAUAUUUCCUCGGCAGGCUUGCCUGCUAGUAGACGAUUAAUAACCUUAUAUAAUUGCAAUUAGCGUUAGUAACGAUAAAAUUAUUACAACUUUUAACAAUAGAUCUCUUAGUUCUGGCAUCGAUGAAGAACGCAGC